Anthonomus grandis grandis is the source of this 5857-nucleotide long non-coding RNA. RefSeq lists it as uncharacterized. Lineage: Eukaryota; Metazoa; Arthropoda; Insecta; Coleoptera; Curculionidae. The record is from RefSeq and is a predicted model, not a curated record. The transcript is spliced from 10 exons.
GUGUAUUGAUCACAUUUAAGGAUUAGUUUCGUUGCUCUAUUUUAAAUUACUUUAAACUCUUUCACUUUGUAUUGAGGUAGACUGAACAAUAAUAUGGAAAAAAGCUGCAAAUGGGGAAGAGAAAUAGCAUAAGUUUAGUAUGCAUUGACAAAUCUAUCAAUAAAAAUUUUUUUUAUAACGUAAUCUGCAUGUUUAAGAAAUUUUAAAUUUUUACACAAGUACUUUAUUUCCUUUUCAUAAAAUAUGCUUUAUGGUUUUGACUUAGUUUCAUCCUUCUGAAUGCAACGAAAUCAUCCGCAAGGUCGUAGCUCCCAUAUUAGCUGAGAUCUCGCAUUUUUGUGGCCCAUUUUUGGGCUCAAAAACGGGGUCGAAAAUUGACAUUUUUCCGAAUUUUCAAAGUGCUGUAAUUCCACUUGUUCUGGUCGAAUUCUGUUAUAACCCGGUGUUUUCGUAAUAUUGGUGAUAAGAAUAAGCCGCUGAUAGGGGUUUCUCUAGCUAUUUUCGGGUUUAAAGAAAUUCGAUUUUUCGCAUAUUCAAAGUGCUAUAAUUCCGUUAGUUUUUCUCGAAACUCAUUAUAACCCGGUGUUUUCGUGUUGCAGGUGAUGGAAACAAGCCGCUGGUAUAGUUAGUUCAAAUUCGAAAAAAAUCAGUUUUUGGUGAAAAAUUUGAUACGGGGGGGUAUACCCUAAAAAUGAAAAUUCUCAAACUUUGGAGGUCCAUAUCUCGGCUUCUAUGGGUCCUAUCGGGAAAAUUCCAACGGUUUUGACUUAGUAUCGUCCUUCUGAAUCCAACGAGACCAUCCGCAAGGUCGUAGCUCCCAUAUUAGCUGAGAUCUCGCAUUUUUAUAGCCCAUUUUUGGGCUCAAAAACGGGGUCAAAAAUUGACUUUUUUCCGAAUUUUCAAAGUGCUAUAAUUCCACUUGUUCUGGUCGAAUUCUGUUAUAACCCGGUGUUUUCGUAAUAUUGGUGAUAAGAAUAAGCCGCUGACAGGGGUUUCUCUAGCUAUUUUCGGGUUUAAAGAAAUUCGAUUUUUCGCAUAUUCAAAGUGCUAUAAUUCCGUUAGUUUUUCUCGAAACUCAUUAUAACCCGGUGUUUUCGUGUUGCAGGUGAUGGAAACAAGCCGCUGGUAUAGUUAGUUCAAAUUCGAAAAAAAUCAGUUUUUGGUGAAAAAUUUGAUACGGGGGGGUAUACCCUAAAAAUGAAAAAUCUCAAACUUUGGAGGUCCAUAUCUCGGCUUCUAUGGGUCCUAUCGGGAAAAUUCCAACGGUUUUGACUUAGUUUCGUCCUUCUGAAUCCAACGAGACCAUCCGCAAGGUCGUAGCUCCCAUAUUAGCUGAGAUCUCGCAUUUUUAUAGCCCAUUUUUGGGCUCAAAAACGGGGUCAAAAAUUGACUUUUUUCCGAAUUUUCAAAGUGCUAUAAUUCCACUUGUUCUGGUCAAAUUCUGUUAUAACCCGGUGUUUUCGUAAUAUUGGUGAUAAGAAUAAGCCGCUGAUAGGGGUUUCUCUAGCUAUUUUCGGGUUUAAAGAAAAUCGAUUUUUCGCUUAUUCAAAGUGCUAUAAUUCCGUUAGUUUUUCUCGAAACUCAUUAUAACCCGGUGUUUUCGUGUUGCAGGUGAUGGAAACAAGCCGCUGGUAUAGUUAGUUCAAAUUCGAAAAAAAUCAGUUUUUGGUGAAAAAUUUGAUACGGGGGGGUAUACCCUAAAAAUGAAAAAUCUCAAACUUUGGAGGUCCAUAUCUCGGCUUCUAUGGGUCCUAUCGGGAAAAUUCCAACGGUUUUGACUUAGUUUCGUCCUUCUGAAUCCAACGAGACCAUCCGCAAGGUCGUAGCUCCCAUAUUAGCUGAGAUCUCGCAUUUUUAUAGCCCAUUUUUGGGCUCAAAAACGGGGUCAAAAAUUGACUUUUUUCCGAAUUUUCAAAGUGCUAUAAUUCCACUUGUUCUGGUCGAAUUCUGUUAUAACCCGGUGUUUUCGUAAUAUUGGUGAUAAAAAUAAGUCGCUGAUAGGGGUUUCUCUAGCUAUUUUCGGGUUUAAAGAAAAUCGAUUUUUCGCAUAUUCAAAGUGCUAUAAUUCCGUUAGUUUUUCUCGAAACUCAUUAUAACCCGGUGUUUUCGUGUUGCAGGUGAUGGAAACAAGCCGCUGGUAUAGUUAGUUCAAAUUCGAAAAAAAUCAGUUUUUGGUGAAAAAUUUGAUACGGGGGGGUAUACCCUAAAAAUGAAAAAUCUCAAACUUUGGAGGUCCAUAUCUCGGCUUCUAUGGGUCCUAUCGGAAAAAUUCCAACGGUUUUGACUUAGUUUCGUCCUUCUGAAUCCAACGAGACCAUCCGCAAGGUCGUAGCUUCAAUAUUAGCUGAGAUCUCGCAUUUUUAUAGCCCAUUUUUGGGCUCAAAAACGGGGUCAAAAAUUGACUUUUUUCCGAAUUUUCAAAGUGCUAUAAUUCCACUUGUUCUGGUCGAAUUCUGUUAUAACCCGGUGUUUUCGUAAUAUUGGUGAUAAGAAUAAGUCGCUGAUAGGGGUUUCUCUAGCUAUUUUCGGGUUUAAAGAAAAUCGAUUUUUCGCAUAUUCAAAGUGCUAUAAUUCCGUUAGUUUUUCUCGAAACUCAUUAUAACCCGGUGUUUUCGUGUUGCAGGUGAUGGAAACAAGCCGCUGGUAUAGUUAGUUCAAAUUCGAAAAAAAUCAGUUUUUGGUGAAAAAUUUGAUACGGGGGGGUAUACCCUAAAAAUGAAAAAUCUCAAACUUUGGAGGUCCAUAUCUCGGCUUCUAUGGGUCCUAUCGGGAAAAUUCCAACGGUUUUGACUUAGUUUCGUCCUUCUGAAUCCAACGAGACCAUCCGCAAGGUCGUAGCUCCCAUAUUAGCUGAGAUCUCGCAUUUUUAUAGCCCAUUUUUGGGCUCAAAAACGGGGUCAAAAAUUGACUUUUUUCCGAAUUUUCAAAGUGCUAUAAUUCCACUUGUUCUGGUCAAAUUCUGUUAUAACCCGGUGUUUUCGUAAUAUUGGUGAUAAGAAUAAGCCGCUGAUAGGGGUUUCUCUAGCUAUUUUCGGGUUUAAAGAAAAUCGAUUUUUCGCUUAUUCAAAGUGCUAUAAUUCCGUUAGUUUUUCUCGAAACUCAUUAUAACCCGGUGUUUUCGUGUUGCAGGUGAUGGAAACAAGCCGCUGGUAUAGUUAGUUCAAAUUCGAAAAAAAUCAGUUUUUGGUGAAAAAUUUGAUACGGGGGGGUAUACCCUAAAAAUGAAAAAUCUCAAACUUUGGAGGUCCAUAUCUCGGCUUCUAUGGGUCCUAUCGGGAAAAUUCCAACGGUUUUGACUUAGUUUCGUCCUUCUGAAUCCAACGAGACCAUCCGCAAGGUCGUAGCUCCCAUAUUAGCUGAGAUCUCGCAUUUUUAUAGCCCAUUUUUGGGCUCAAAAACGGGGUCAAAAAUUGACUUUUUUCCGAAUUUUCAAAGUGCUAUAAUUCCACUUGUUCUGGUCGAAUUCUGUUAUAACCCGGUGUUUUCGUAAUAUUGGUGAUAAGAAUAAGCCGCUGAUAGGGGUUUCUCUAGCUAUUUUCGGGUUUAAAGAAAAUCGAUUUUUCGCAUAUUCAAAGUGCUAUAAUUCCGUUAGUUUUUCUCGAAACUCAUUAUAACCCGGUGUUUUCGUGUUGCAGGUGAUGGAAACAAGCCGCUGGUAUAGUUAGUUCAAAUUCGAAAAAAAUCAGUUUUUGGUGAAAAAUUUGAUACGGGGGGGUAUACCCUAAAAAUGAAAAAUCUCAAACUUUGGAGGUCCAUAUCUCGGCUUCUAUGGGUCCUAUCGGGAAAAUUCCAAUGGUUUUGACUUAGUUUCGUCCUUCUGAAUCCAACGAGACUAUCCGCAAGGUCGUAGCUCCCAUAUUAGCUGAGAUCUCGCAUUUUUAUAGCCCAUUUUUGGGCUCAAAAACGGGGUCAAAAAUUGACUUUUUUCCGAAUUUUCAAAGUGCUAUAAUUCCACUUGUUCUGGUCGAAUUCUGUUAUAACCCGGUGUUUUCGUAAUAUUGGUGAUAAGAAUAAGCCGCUGAUAGGGGUUUCUCUAGCUAUUUUCGGGUUUAAAGAAAAUCGAUUUUUCGCUUAUUCAAAGUGCUAUAAUUCCGUUAGUUUUUCUUGAAACUCAUUAUAACCCGGUGUUUUCGUGUUGCAGGUGAUGGAAACAAGCCGCUGGUAUAGUUAGUUCAAAUUCGAAAAAAAUCAGUUUUUGGUGAAAAAUUUGAUACGGGGGGGGUAUACCCUAAAAAUGAAAAAUCUUAAACUUUGGAGGUCCAUAUCUCGGCUUCUAUGGGUCCUAUCGGGAAAAUUCCAACGGUUUUGACUUAGUUUCGUCCUUCUGAAUCCAACGAGACCAUCCGCAAGGUCGUAGCUCCCAUAUUAGCUGAGAUCUCGCAUUUUUAUAGCCCAUUUUUGGGCUCAAAAACGGGGUCAAAAAUUGACUUUUUUCCGAAUUUUCAAAGUGCUAUAAUUCCACUUGUUCUGGUCGAAUUCUGUUAUAAUCCGGUGUUUUCGUAAUAUUGGUGAUAAGAAUAAGUCGCUGAUAGGGGUUUCUCUAGCUAUUUUCGGGUUUAAAGAAAAUCGAUUUUUCGCAUAUUCAAAGUGCUAUAAUUCCGUUAGUUUUUCUCGAAACUCAUUAUAACCCGGUGUUUUCGUGUUGCAGGUGAUGGAAACAAGCCGCUGGUAUAGUUAGUUCAAAUUCUAAAAAAAUCAGUUUUUGGUGAAAAAUUUGAUACGGGGGGGUAUACCCUAAAAAUGAAAAAUCUCAAACUUUGGAGGUCCAUAUCUCGGCUUCUAUGGGUCCUAUCGGGAAAAUUCCAACGGUUUUGACUUAGUUUCGUCCUUCUGAAUCCAACGAGACCAUCCGCAAGGUCGUAGCUCCCAUAUUAGCUGAGAUCUCGCAUUUUUAUAGCCCAUUUUUGGGCUCAAAAACGGGGUCAAAAAUUGACUUUUUUCCGAAUUUUCAAAGUGCUAUAAUUCCACUUGUUCUGGUCGAAUUCUGUUAUAACCCGGUGUUUUCGUAAUAUUGGUGAUAAGAAUAAGCCGCUGAUAGGGGUUUCUCUAGCUAUUUUCGGGUUUAAAGAAAAUCGAUUUUUCGCAUAUUCAAAGUGCUAUAAUUCCGUUAGUUUUUCUCGAAACUCAUUAUAACCCGGUGUUUUCGUGUUGCAGGUGAUAGAAACAAGCCGCUGGUAUAGUUAGUUCAAAUUCUAAAAAAAUCAGUUUUUGGUGAAAAAUUUGAUACGGGGGGGUAUACCCUAAAAAUGAAAAAUCUCAAACUUUGGAGGUCCAUAUCUCGGCUUCUAUGGGUCCUAUCGGGAAAAUUCCAACGGUUUUGACUUAGUUUCGUCCUUCUGAAUCCAACGAGACCAUCCGCAAGGUCGUAGCUCCCAUAUUAGCUGAGAUCUCGCAUUUUUAUAGCCCAUUUUUGGGCUCAAAAACGGGGUCAAAAAUUGACUUUUUUCCGAAUUUUCAAAGUGCUAUAAUUCCACUUGUUCUGGUCGAAUUCUGUUAUAACCCGGUGUUUUCGUCAUGUAGGUGAUGGGAAUAAGCCGCUGACAGGGGUUUCUAUUGCUAUUUUCGGGUUUAAAGAAAAUCGAUUUUUCGCAUAUUCAAAGUGCUAUAAUUCCGUUAGUUUUUCUCGAAACUCAUUAUAACCCGGUGUUUUCGUGUUGCAGGUGAUGGAAACAAGCCGCUGGUAUAGUUAGUUCAAAUUCGAAAAAAAUCAGUUUUUGGUGAAAAAUUUGAUACGGGGGGGUAUACCCUAAAAAUGAAAAAUCUCAAACUUUGGAGGUCCAUAUCUCGGCUUCUAUGGGUCCUAUCGGGAAAAUUCCAACGGUUUUGACUUAGUUUCGUCCUUCUGAAUCCAACGAGA